UACAUAGCUCAUCAAGGUAAGUGGAUUUUUCAGACCUGAAGAUUCUUUCUUUUCAAUUUGGUGUUCAGUUCAUAAAUGAAGAGAAAGAAAAUCGUGUUCCAACCCAAGAAAAUGAAGCAAGAAUGUUCAGUUAGCGAUAGCAAGAAAAAAUAGUAAUGUGAAUGUCUUUGUGUGUGUAUGUAUAGAUAGACAUGUACAUAUAAAUAUACAUUAAUAGGGAGCAUAUCCGGUGAGAACUCUUAUUUAUUGUGAGAAAUGAGAACAUUUAUUUAUGUGCAUUAGAUAUAAUAAACAGUUAAGAUUAAAUUUUUGUAAAAUAUAUCAUGUGUUGUCUCCUCCACCAAAUUGUUCUCCACUUUUACCUUUUCUCAUUCACUUCUAUGCUUCGGUCUCAAGGUUGUAGCCGGCGUCACCGUUAAACAUAGCAACGAAAACAAGUUUAUGAAUUGAUGAUGUUGUGCAAUAAAAUUACACUGUAAAUGUAAGGAUAAUUCGCCCUUGUUUCUUAUGGAUCAACAACUGCAUUAGACAACUUUGAAGGGUUUUGGGAUUUUAAUUUGUUGGCUAUAUCGAUCAUGUUUCUCAUUUGUCGGCAAUAGAUAUUUGCAUUAUUUUUUGUGGACAGUAUUCAACAAAGUGAUUAAAUUGUAGGGUAAUCAGAUUGCAUAAUGUCCAGUACUAUAUAUCUAUAUUUAGGAAUUAGGACUAGGCUACCCGUGAAGUAUGGACGGUCCAAUAACGCAGAUCUGACAUGAGGGCACAAUACAGUGAACAGUUUGGCGGUGCUAUGCAGCACAAAUUCACAAUUUGCAUUUUACAGAAGGAGAGGGAGAUAGGGUUGAUGGAUGGAUGAGUCAAGAGACGGUGUCGUAAGGAGGUAAAAAGAGGGUAAGAGGAAGACUGAGUGGAGGAGGGAACAAGUUAUAUUGCCAACAAAACUUUAAUCCUAGUCGUUUGUUAUAUCUAAUGAACAUAAAUAACUGUCCUCAUUUCUCACCAGAUACGCUCCCAAAAAUAGUAUAAGAAAAUGAAAAGGCAUAUAUACUACCUGCAAAAGGAUCUGAGUCAUACACCAGCGAAACCCAGACAUAACAGCAGC
This 1099-nucleotide long non-coding RNA is filed under the name Medicago truncatula (barrel medic). RNAcentral describes it as "lncRNA gene45263". Lineage: Eukaryota; Viridiplantae; Streptophyta; Magnoliopsida; Fabales; Fabaceae. The record is from RNAcentral.